CAGCAUUUGAACUAUCUUUUCUUGUAUAAUGGACAUCGUAAGAGUUGUCUAAAGCCCUGCCAUUCAUGGUGACUUCAAAUACUAUGCUAAAAGUCCUUUUUAUGGACUGUUUUGAACACAGAUCAUCCACAUACUUCAUUCAAAUCCAGCCAUCGCUUUUCCUUGAGUUUACAGGUAAUAUAUAUUUUUUAUUUAGAACUAUAAUUAAGUUGUUUACAUGUAACGUUAAAAUAGUUUAUUGUCU
Molecule: long non-coding RNA, 244 nt
Organism: Amphimedon queenslandica
Lineage: Eukaryota; Metazoa; Porifera; Demospongiae; Haplosclerida; Niphatidae
Exons: 2
Source: RefSeq, a predicted model, not a curated record